GGGGAAUAUUGGACAAUGGGGGCAACCCUGAUCCAGCCAUGCCGCGUGUGUGAAGAAGGCCUUCGGGUUGUAAAGCACUUUUGUCCGGGAAGAAAUCUCACGAUUUAAUACGUCGGGAGGAUGACGGUACCGGAAGAAUAAGCACCGGCUAACUUCGUGCCAGCAGCCGCGGUAAUACGAAGGGUGCAAGCGUUACUCGGAAUUACUGGGCGUAAAGCGUGCGUAGGUGGUUCGUUAAGUCUGCCGUGAAAGCCCCGGGCUCAACCUGGGAAUGGCGGUGGAUACUGGCGGACUAGAGUGCGGUAGAGGGUGGUGGAAUUCCCGGUGUAGCAGUGAAAUGCGUAGAGAUCGGGAGGAACAUCUGUGGCGAAGGCGGCCACCUGGACCAGCACUGACACUGAGGCACGAAAGCGUGGGGAGCAAA
This 424-nucleotide ribosomal RNA is filed under the name uncultured bacterium. RNAcentral describes it as "bacterial SSU rRNA". It matches the Rfam family "Bacterial small subunit ribosomal RNA", at positions 356 to 772 of the family's 1533-position model. The record is from RNAcentral.